RNAcentral lists this ribosomal RNA (253 nucleotides) under uncultured bacterium. RNAcentral's name for it is "partial 16S ribosomal RNA". It matches the Rfam family "Bacterial small subunit ribosomal RNA", at positions 524 to 776 of the family's 1533-position model. The record is from RNAcentral.
UACGAAGGGGGCUAGCGUUGCUCGGAAUCACUGGGCGUAAAGGGUGCGUAGGCGGGUUCUUAAGUCAGAGGUGAAAUCCUGGAGUUCAACUCCAGAACUGCCUUUGAUACUGAGAGUCUUGAGUUCGGGAGAGGUGAGUGGAACUGCGAGUGUAGAGGUGAAAUUCGUAGAUAUUCGCAAGAACACCAGUGGCGAAGGCGGCUCACUGGCCCGAUACUGACGCUGAAGCACGAAAGCGUGGGGAGCAAACAGG